This 111-nucleotide small RNA is filed under the name Mytilus galloprovincialis (Mediterranean mussel). The record is from RNAcentral. Lineage: Eukaryota; Metazoa; Mollusca; Bivalvia; Mytilida; Mytilidae.
CUGUGUAUUACAGGAAACCUCUUGCGGCUGCGAAUAACAAAUACACCAAUAUCUACUCAGUAACUAUAGUUUUGGCAUUGGCAGCCGCAAGAGGUUUCCUGUAAUACAAUA